Molecule: ribosomal RNA, 469 nt
Filed under: uncultured bacterium
Lineage: Bacteria
Description: bacterial SSU rRNA
Rfam family: Bacterial small subunit ribosomal RNA
Source: RNAcentral
AGCAGUGGAAGCAAUAUGUCCAUUGCCUGACGUUACCCCCCAGAGAAAGCUCCGGCCAACUCCGUGCCAGCAGCCGCGGUAAUACGGGGGGAGUAAGCGUUGUCCGGAAUCAUUGGGCGUAAAGGGCGUGUAGGCGGCUUGGCAAGUCGAAUGUGAAAUCCUACGGCUCAACCGUGGAACUGCGUUCGAAACUGCCUUGCUUGAGUGCGGGAGAGGUGUGCGGAAUUCCUGGUGUAGCGGUGGAAUGCGUAGAUAUCAGGAAGAACACCGGUGGCGAAGGCGGCACACUGGCCCAGCACUGACGCUGAGGCGCGAAAGCGUGGGGAGCGAACGGGAUUAGAUACCCCGGUAGUCCACGCUGUAAACUUUGGGCACUAGGUAUUGGAGGUCUCAACCCCUUCAGUGCCGUAGCUAACGCGUUAAGUGCCCCGCCUGGGGAGUACGGUCGCAAGGCUGAAACUCAAAGGAA